AUCGCUUCUCGGCCUUUUGGCUAAGAUUAAUUGUAGUAUCUGUUCUUAUCAGUUUAAUAUCUGACACGUCCUCUAUAUGAGGACUACAUAUUAAAUAGAUUUUUAGAACAGGGAGACAGAAGAGGGGCUUGCUCUCUCCGCUCCAUGCAUCAACCUGGUAUUGCAGGACCUCUGGGAACGGUGCACCUAUU
This is a small nuclear RNA of Pygocentrus nattereri (red-bellied piranha), 191 nucleotides long. Its record names the gene U2. It matches the Rfam family "U2 spliceosomal RNA". Rfam says of the family: U2 is a small nuclear RNA (snRNA) component of the spliceosome (involved in pre-mRNA splicing). Complementary binding between U2 snRNA (in an area lying towards the 5' end but 3' to hairpin I) and the branchpoint sequence (BPS) of the intron results the bulging out of an unpaired adenosine, on the BPS, which initiates a nucleophilic attack at the intronic 5' splice site, thus starting the first of two transesterification reactions that mediate splicing. The record is from Ensembl. Lineage: Eukaryota; Metazoa; Chordata; Actinopteri; Characiformes; Serrasalmidae.